Molecule: ribosomal RNA, 498 nt
Filed under: uncultured bacterium
Lineage: Bacteria
Description: partial 16S ribosomal RNA
Rfam family: Bacterial small subunit ribosomal RNA
Source: RNAcentral
GACGAACGCUGGCGGCGUGCCUAAUACAUGCGAGUCGAACGAGAGCGACCGGUGCUUGCCCUGGUCAAUCUAGUGGCGAACGGGUGAGUAACACGUGGGUAACCUGCCCAUCAGAGGGGGAUAACAUCCGGAAACGGAUGCUAAAACCGCAUAGGUCUUCGAGCCGCAUGGCUUGAAGAGGAAAAGAGGCGCAAGCUUCUGCUGAUGGAUGGACCCGCGGUGCAUUAGCUAGUUGGUGAGGUAACGGCUCACCAAGGCCGUGAUGCAUAGCCGACCGGAGAGGGUGAUGGGCCACAUUGGGACUGAGACACGGCCGAAACGCCGACGGGAGGGAGAAGUAGGGAAUCUUCCGCAAUGGGCGGAAGACUGACGGAGCAACGCCGCGUGAGUGAAGAAGGUUUUCGGAUCGUAAAACUCUGUUGUUAGAGAAGAACAAGUGCUAGAGUAACUGUUAGCGCCGUGACGGUAUCUAACCAGAAAGCCACGGCUAACUACGUG